Molecule: ribosomal RNA, 229 nt
Filed under: uncultured bacterium
Lineage: Bacteria
Description: partial 16S ribosomal RNA
Rfam family: Bacterial small subunit ribosomal RNA
Source: RNAcentral
UCCGUAGGUGGAUGGUUAAGUCAGAGGUGAAAUCCUGCAGCUCAACUGUAGAAUUGCCUUUGAUACUGGCCGUCUUGAGUCAUUGUGAAGUGGUUGGAAUAUGUAGUGUAGCGGUGAAAUGCAUAGAUAUUACAUAGAACACCGAUUGCGAAGGCAGAUCACUAACAAUGUACUGACACUGAUGGACGAAAGCGUGGGGAGCGAACAGGAUUAGAUACCCUGGUAGUCC